This 474-nucleotide ribosomal RNA is filed under the name Pseudomonas sp. BH12.3. RNAcentral's name for it is "bacterial SSU rRNA". Lineage: Bacteria; Pseudomonadati; Pseudomonadota; Gammaproteobacteria; Pseudomonadales; Pseudomonadaceae. The record is from RNAcentral.
AUUGAACGCUGGCGGCAGGCCUAACACAUGCAAGUCGAGCGGAUGAGAAGAGCUUGCUCUUCGAUUCAGCGGCGGACGGGUGAGUAAUGCCUAGGAAUCUGCCUAUUAGUGGGGGACAACGUUUCGAAAGGAACGCUAAUACCGCAUACGUCCUACGGGAGAAAGCAGGGGACCUUCGGGCCUUGCGCUAAUAGAUGAGCCUAGGUCGGAUUAGCUAGUUGGUGAGGUAAUGGCUCACCAAGGCURCGAUCCGUAACUGGUCUGAGAGGAUGAUCAGUCACACUGGAACUGAGACACGGUCCAGACUCCUACGGGAGGCAGCAGUGGGGAAUAUUGGACAAUGGGCGAAAGCCUGAUCCAGCCAUGCCGCGUGUGUGAAGAAGGUCUUCGGAUUGUAAAGCACUUUAAGUUGGGAGGAAGGGCAGUAACCUAAUACGUUAUUGUUUUGACGUUACCGACAGAAUAAGCACCGGC